RNAcentral lists this long non-coding RNA (6142 nucleotides) under Homo sapiens (human). RNAcentral's name for it is "non-protein coding CCDC183-AS1:2". Lineage: Eukaryota; Metazoa; Chordata; Mammalia; Primates; Hominidae. The record is from RNAcentral.
AAAGUCCUGCAGGUACAACUGAUGCACCCUGUAGCCCCGCUGUCCCUCCAGGAUGUCCCGGUGGGAUGGGAGCCGGCGCCACCCCGACCUGUGUUCCAGCCACCCGCCUGCAGCCCGGGCCCCAGUUCCGGGGCCUGUACCGAUCAUAUCCUCCUCCCGGUUCUCAAAGCUGAUCCUGGUGUUGUACUUCUCCAUCAGAGUCGAGGACUCCAGGGUGUCCCUCACCUUUGUGUCGCCCUGCAGGGCAAAGCCCCCUUCAGCCGUGCAGACACUCUGAACGGGAGCCUGUCAGCUUUGAGGGGACGUGGGCUGUGCAGGUUCCUCCCAGCCCGGGGCUACCUCCUCGGUCCUGGACACCAUCUGCACUCUGUCAGCCAGCAUGUCUGUCAUUUUCUUCUCAACGGACUUGAAGCUGCAGAAGGCAAUAGGGACACAGCAGUGAGGGGCACAGGCCCGAGAGCCAUGGUGGGCCACCCAGGAGCCCAGUCCUGAGUUGGGUGCUGUGCCAGAAUCAGGGACUCAGAAGCUCAGGUGUGUGCAAGUGGAGUCCCCUGGCCCCUCUGUGGGACACACAGGCUUGUUGGCAGUGGGUAUACUCCCAGCUCCCAGCCUGGCUGCAGCCCGGGGCCUUUGUGAGACUGGGGUGGGUGGCCCGCAGCCCCGGAAGCCCGGGGCACCUGAUGGAGCUAGGCUUCUGGCGGAACUUGAGCACGGCCUCCUCCAGCUCCAGCUGCUUCACCAGGGCCUUCAGCUGCACCCGCCACUCCUCACAGUCCUCCAUCUGCAGCUCCAGGUUCUCCUCCGUGUUCCUCUGGGCCAGGAAGCGGCUAGUGAUGUCCUGGCCAGUCCGGGGGAGAGAGAAGCAGAGUGCCUCAGACCCCAGCCCAGCUCAGCCACCCUCCUGCCAUGCUCCGGGAGUGCCAGGGAGCAUUACCCAGACGUGAGAGGCUCAGCCACCCUCCUGCCAUUCUCUGGGAGCGCCAGGGGCAUUACCCAGACGUGAGAGCACCGUACAGCACUCUUGACCUUCUCCACCACAGCAGUCACGCCCGACUGGUAUUCCAUUUCUGCUGUGGAGGUCUCUUUUCUCCUCACUGGCAGAGCAGAGGGGAGGGGCAGUCAGCAUGCAGGGAUGGCUCAGGGGCUCUGUGUAAGGCUGUCAGACACCUCUGUACCUGCCCAGCUGCUGGGGCGGCCACCCAAGACACAGGCAUCCUUCAGAGAUGCCUGCCCCCGCCCCAACCUGCUCCCUCCUCAGCCCAGCCCUGCAGGGACGCCCCAGGCAGCCCCAGAGCAGAGGUGGACCCGGAGUGAGUGGCGCAGCACUGUGAGCACUGUGGGCCCGGUGGUGCUUCUCAGAGGCAGCUUAGGGGUCAGGAUGCUCAUCCUCUGCAGAGUCACUGGGGACUGGGCCCUUGGUGCAGGGCCCUUGGGUGCUGGGGCCAGCAUCUCUGAGGCCACAUUUGGCUACAGGCUCUCAGCCUCUGGAGGGAGAGGCAGGGACCUGUCCUUCCCUUCACCCUGGCGACCACAUGUCACACCUGGCCUCAGGGUGACUUGAUCCGUUGGCCUGAAUCAGUGCCAGCCUCUCCUUGGGACCCUGGCUGGGGGCAGGUGGGGAGCUGAGCGCUUACAUUUCAGGGUCUCCGUGCUCAUCAGGUUCGAGGGGAAGUCCAAGUCCAUCUGGCCCUGAUGGGAGGUGGGGGCGGGGAAGGGAUGAGACAUCCUUGGCAGGGAGUGGGCCCUGAGUGGUGGCCCUGAGCCUGUGUCCACCCAGCUGUCAUGGGGAUGGGCAGCCAGCCAGGCCCUGGCCUGGGGCUUACCCGGCGGUACUUCUCGCUGGUCUCCUUCGUGUGGAUCUUGUCGAUCAGCUUCUUCUGCUGGUUGAGCCGGUUCUCCCUUGCCCGGCGCUCCUCGAUGAAGGACGCCUCCCUUUGCCUCAUGUUCCUCUGGGGACAUGCGGGUGGGCACAGGGUUGGGGAGCUGUCUCAACAAGGCCCCUAAUGGCAGUAAAGCCAGCGGGCGGUUGGCCAUGCUCACCUUACUAGACUUUGGAACUGCAUCCCCGGCCAAUGGCCACACCCUUUUCCUAAACCACUUGUGCCCGUGGCCCCUCAGCUCACGGCCCUCCUUGCCCAUGCCUCAGAGCAUGUGCCAGCCCAGACGCUCUGCUGCCCUCCAGCCGCUGGCCCCCAGCUGCCUCCUGGCCAGGUCCACCUAGAACUCACGGAAGUGCAUUCAGCCUGCCUGAAGACAGAUUCAUCCUCUUCCCCAAAACCUGGCCUCUUCCAGCGUGCCCUUGGGCAGCUAAAACCGUCAUCUGCUAACCCCUGCUCACGCACCCCAGACACUGCUCUCACCCUCGCCACUCUCGUUGCCAGCGCUUAGUGGGGUUGCCUCUUGAGGAGUUCUCAGCUCCGUUGCUCCUGGCCACCCCUUCUCCACCCCGGGUAUACCCAGGUGAUCAGCGCUUCUGCCCUGGCACCUUCCAGUCCCUGCAGCCUGAGUACACCCUUUCUGAAGCACAGACCUGGUCACAUCUUUCCUCCACCUCCUCCCAGGGCUCCAGGUCAGUCCUUGGGCCCCCAGCCCAGCCGCCUCCGUGGACUCCUGGGGCCUGUGCCUCUGCAGCCUCCACUGCCCUGGCCACACGCUGCUCCAUGUAUCACACCCCUCCCAGCCCAGGGCCUUUUCCCAAGUUGUACCUCCUCCUCCCUAGCCCUGGCCACACCUGACCUUUGCGGGUUCAAUCCCUCAGCCCAGCUCAAGCACUGUCUUCCUGGAAAGCCAUCUGCCACCCCACCUGUCUCUGCUGAGCUGGCUCAGGGGCUGUGUGGCAUUUCUUCAUGGACUACUGGAUGAGUGCCACCCACUUCAGGAGGACAGGGUCUGCCUGUCCCGGUCCCUGCUGUAUCCCCAGAGCCUUGCAGGGACCUUGGCACAGACUGGGUGAAUAGGUGACCCCCGCCCUGGCCCGGCCAGUUCUCUCCCUCUCCUCUACUUCAUGGCUCCUGUGCUGGAUGGGACCUGCUCUGUCCAGUGGGUGAGCAGAGCAGGCUGGCCGGGCUGGCCACUGGAUCCUUCUGGGGAUUGUAGGCAGUGUGGGCAUGGGGGUCUCCUGAGAGACCCUGGCCAGAAGACACAAGAGAGCCCGCCCUGGGGGGCCCCAGCCCUGGGCCCUGAGCUCACCUUGACCCCAUCCGAAGAUCCAAGAGGGCUGGCCCUGGGGGGCCCCCAGCCCUGGGCCCUGAGCUCACCUUGACCCCAUCCGAAGAUCCAAGAGGGCUGGCCCUGGGGGGCCCCAGCCCUGGGCCCUGAGCUCACCUUGACCCCAUCCGAAGAUCCAAGAGGGCUGGCCCUGGGGGGCCCCCGGCCCUGGGCCCUGAGCUCACCUUGACCCCAUCCGAAGAUCCAAGAGGGCUGGCCCUGGGGGGCCCCCAGCCCUGGGCCCUGAGCUCACCUUGACCCCAUCCGAAGAUCCAAGAGGGCUGGCCCUGGGGGGCCCCCGGCCCUGGGCCCUGAGCUCACCUUGACCCCAUCCGAAGAUCCAAGAGGGCUGGCCCUGGGGGGCCCCCAGCCCUGGGCCCUGAGCUCACCUUGACCCCAUCCGAAGAUCCAAGAGGGCUGGCCCUGGGGGGCCCCCAGCCCUGGGCCCUGAGCUCACCUUGACCUCAUCCGUGAUCAUCAUGGCAUCUUGGGACAUGAUCUUCAUAUCCGACAGCUCUGAGCAGUAGUUGACCACGAGGUUCUGCAGCUUGUCCAGCUCAAUGGGGUAUCCUGCCAGCACCUGUGUUGAAUGGGGUUCUCUUGUGGCCCCUACAGAGUGGGCUGCAGUUGCCCCGAGCUUUUAUCCCCCGACUAAGAGCCCUGAGAACAGUGAUAGGUUCUCCUCUGUGGCCCCAGCCACCUCCCCCACUCCCCGCUGGGCACAACGGUGAUGAAAGGUGUUUCACAGGGAGUGGACAGUGCUGGCCUGGUGGACUCUUUCACCACCUAGGGUCCAACAACCCAGAGAGACUGAGAGAGUUUGUGAUGAAAUGCUCUGCAGAAAAGGCUGACUGAAACCCGGGGAGGUUUGGGGACAGUUCUGCUUUGAAGUGAAACAGAGGGGCUCAAGACAUGGGCUUGGGGUCAGAGAGUCAGGAUUCAAGGCCAAGGCAGCUUCUGACCAGCUAGUUUAGCUGUGUGACAUUGGGAAAGUUACUUAAUCUCUCUGUGUCCCCAUUUGUAAGAUGAUGGCUCGUUCAGAAGGUUGCCAUCAGGAUGAAUUGAGUGUAAAAGGAAUUAUUUAGCCCAGAACCAGGUACAUACGUGCUCAGGAUAGCUUUGCUAUAGUGGUUUGUUUUUUGUAACUACAAGUAUAGGCCAGGUGCGGUGGCUCACGCCUGUAAUCCCAACACUGGGAGGCCGGAGGCAGGCAGAUCAUGAGGUCAGGAGUUAGAGACCAGCCUGGCCAACAUAGUGAAACCCUGUCUCUACUAAAAAUACAAAAAAAAUCAGCCGGGCGUGGUAGUGGGCGCCUGUAAUUCUAGCUAUUCGGGAGGCUGAGGCAGGAGAAUCGCUUGAACCCGGGAGGCGGAGGUUGCAGUGAGCCGAGAUCUCACCACUGCACACCAGCUGGGGCAACAGUGUGAAACUCCAUCUCAAAAAACAAAACAAACAAAAACAAAACUAGAAGUGUAGAAUCUUCAUUUUUAAAAAUAUGGAUGACUAUGGGAAUUAUUGCUUGUUUUUUCCUUUGUUCUGAGACUGAAUCUCACUCUAUCACCCAGGCUGGAGUGCGAUGGUACGAUCUCGGCUUGCAGCAACCUCUGCCUUCUGGGUUCAGGUGAUUCUCGUGCCUCAGCCUCCCGAGUAGCUGGGAUUACAGGCAUGCACCACCAUGCCAGGCUACUUUUUGUAUUUUUAGUAGAGAUGAAGUUUCACCAUGUUGGCCAGGCUGGUCUAGAACUCCUGACCUCAAGUGAUCCGCCUGCCUUGGCCUCCCAAAGUGCUGGGAUUACAGGCAUGAGCCACCAUGCCCAGGCCGGGAAUAAUUGUUUUUUAAGUGUGUAUGUUCUAAACAGAAGAAGGCGCUACCAGAGGAACAGAAAGCACCCAGGCGAAGGAGGGGCAUGGACAGGGGUGGGGAGAGGGGUGGGCCCAGGAAGCAUAGAGGGGCAGGGCUUCCAGGUGAGCCAAUAGGACCAGGGGCCAAGGCAAGAGGGACAAGCAGAGGACGGUGCUGAGAGCCACCUGGGCUGGGACCACAGCAGGAAAAGAGCUGCGAUGCAGCCUCCGUCCACCACUCCUCCUAAACUGCACUUCCAUGCUGUCACCUUCCCGAAGCAUGGCUCUCCAGAGCUCCCCUUUGCCCAGUCUUAGGGUGAGGGUGUUUCCAGCUGGCUCCCCGCCCCAUCCACAGGUUGCUCCUCUUAGCACCUCCUGUGCUCUCCCUAUCUACAGCCCAUCUGGAGUAGGUUCUGCUUUGUGGCAGCCCGAGGGGCGGUGCUCAGCCUCCCAUGAAGGGGGUCUUCCCUCACAAUCGGACUGCUGGCUGCCUUUGGCCUCGUCUGCAGGGAGCAGGGCGGGUGGGCUGGCUGGGACGGCAGCAAGCCCUGCUUACAGGCCCAGCGGACCCUCAAAGGUGCAAGGACUUUCUGAGGGUGCAGGACCUGUCUGACUCUCAGAGGCCCAGGCAAUGAGAAAAUGACAGGCAAGAUACAAACAAUACCAAAUCAUUUAAUACGUGCAAGAAAGUCCGAAGAAUUCUGAUAUACCCCACGAUAUGCUUUUUUGGAAUAGCCAAAAAUGAAGUUUAAAAAAACGUUUUCCACAUGCCUCGGCGUCCUGCGUAGCCGGUGGUCAGGCAGAGCUCCCUCUCCCUGGCGGGUGCGGGGCGGCUCCGCCCCAGGACGCUCCCGCCCCUCCCAGAUCCCAGCCCCUGACCCCCGCCCUUCCCGGGCCGCUGGGCUCACUGUCUUCAGAUAAUCCAGCAGGUCCAAAUACAGCAGGUGGAUGUUCUGGCUGGUGAUGAUCUUGAUCAUUGUCUUCUCGAUGUUGUUCUCCAGCUGGCGGAUGAUCUGGGGCGGACCGAGGGCGCAGUGAGAGGGCGUGGGGACCGGCCGCCCGGAGGGUGUCGGGGCUGGGUUUUCUCCGGAGA